UCAUAAAAGAUGCAACUCGUAAAAUUCUAAAAUGCUUUGUGUUUUAGGCAUAUAAAAAGAGACAACUGGCUGGACCAACCUGAAUAUACACUUUCUUUGCAUUAUUUGAUGAAAUGAUGUCACUUCCUGGGGG
This 133-nucleotide long non-coding RNA is filed under the name Carassius auratus (goldfish). Its description in RNAcentral is "lncRNA (ENSCARG00000010025.1)". Lineage: Eukaryota; Metazoa; Chordata; Actinopteri; Cypriniformes; Cyprinidae. The record is from RNAcentral.